Molecule: ribosomal RNA, 590 nt
Filed under: uncultured fungus
Lineage: Eukaryota; Fungi
Description: eukaryotic LSU rRNA
Rfam family: 5.8S ribosomal RNA (bases 198-351)
Source: RNAcentral
UCUUGGUCAUUUCGAGGAAGUAAAAGUCGUAACAAGGUUUCCGUAGGUGAACCUGCGGAAGGAUCAUUAUUGAAAUAAACCUGAUGGGUUGUUGCUGGCUCUCUAGGGAGCAUGUGCACGCCUUGUCAUCUUUAUAUUUUGCUUCAUUUACCCCCCAAUGUAUGUCAAUAGAAUGUUGUGCCUAUAAUAAUAUAUACAACUUUCAGCAACGGAUCUCUUGGCUCUCGCAUCGAUGAAGAACGCAGCGAAAUGCGAUAAGUAAUGUGAAUUGCAGAAUUCAGUGAAUCAUCGAAUCUUUGAACGCACCUUGCGCUCCUUGGUAUUCCGAGGAGCAUGCCUGUUUGAGUGUCAUUAAUAUAUAUAUCAAACCUUCUCUUUGUUGAGUGGUUUUGGAUGUGGGGGUUUGCUGGCCUCUUAAAAAGGUUCAGCUCCUCUGAAAUGCAUUAGCAGAACAAACCUGUUCAUUGGUGUGAUAACUAUCUACGCUAUUGAAUGUAAGGGGCAGUUCAGCUCUCUAAUGGUCCUCGGACAAUUCAUCAUUAAUGUGACCUCAAAUCAGGUAGGACUACCCGCUGAACUUAAGCAUAUCA